Molecule: ribosomal RNA, 253 nt
Filed under: uncultured bacterium
Lineage: Bacteria
Description: partial 16S ribosomal RNA
Rfam family: Bacterial small subunit ribosomal RNA
Source: RNAcentral
UACGGAGGGGGCUAGCGUUGUUCGGAAUUACUGGGCGUAAAGCGCGCGUAGGCGGACCUGCAAGUCGGGGGUGAAAGCCCGAGGCUCAACCUCGGAACUGCCUUCGAUACUGCGGGUCUCGAGUCCGGGAGAGGUGAGUGGAAUUCCUAGUGUAGAGGUGAAAUUCGUAGAUAUUAGGAAGAACACCAGUGGCGAAGGCGGCUCACUGGACCAUAACUGACGCUGAUGCACGAAAGCUAGGGGAGCAAACAGG